ACUCCCGUCUUGCUGGGGUGGAUGAGUGGCGAACGGGUGAGUAACACGUGAGUAACCUGCCCCUGACUUCGGGAUAAGCCCGGGAAACUGGGUCUAAUACCGGAUACGACCGUCCCACGCAUGUGGGAUGGUGGAAAGUUUUUUCGGUUGGGGAUGGGCUCGCGGCCUAUCAGUUUGUUGGUGAGGUAAUGGCUCACCAAGACGACGACGGGUAGCCGGCCUGAGAGGGCGACCGGCCACACUGGGACUGAGACACGGCCCAGACUCCUACGGGAGGCAGCAGUGGGGAAUAUUGCACAAUGGGGGAAACCCUGAUGCAGCGACGCAGCGUGCGGGAUGACGGCCUUCGGGUUGUAAACCGCUUUCAGCAGGGAAGAAGCGAAAGUGACGGUACCUGCAGAAGAAGUACCGGCUAACUACGUGCCAGCAGCCGCGGUAAUACGUAGGGUACGAGCGUUGUCCGGAAUUAUUGGGCGUAAAGAGCUCGUAGGUGGUUGGUCACGUCUGCUGUGGAAACGCAACGCUUAACGUUGCGCGUGCAGUGGGUACGGGCUGACUAGAGUGCAGUAGGGGAGUCUGGAAUUCCUGGUGUAGCGGUGAAAUGCGCAGAUAUCAGGAGGAACACCGGUGGCGAAGGCGGGACUCUGGGCUGUAACUGACACUGAGGAGCGAAAGCAUGGGGAGCGAACAGGAUUAGAUACCCUGGUAGUCCAUGCCGUAAACGUUGGGCACUAGGUGUGGGGGACAUUCCACGUUCUCCGCGCCGUAGCUAACGCAUUAAGUGCCCCGCCUGGGGAAUACGGUCGCAAGGCUAAAACUCAAAGGAAUUGACGGGGGCCCGCACAAGCGGCGGAGCAUGCGGAUUAAUUCGAUGCAACGCGAAGACCUUACCAGGCUUGACUUCACCAGACCGGCUUGGGAACAGGUCUUCCCCUUUGGGGUUG
Molecule: ribosomal RNA, 944 nt
Filed under: Brevibacterium sanguinis
Lineage: Bacteria; Bacillati; Actinomycetota; Actinomycetes; Micrococcales; Brevibacteriaceae
Description: bacterial SSU rRNA
Rfam family: Bacterial small subunit ribosomal RNA
Source: RNAcentral